UGGGGAAUUUUGGACAAUGGGCGAAAGCCUGAUCCAGCCAUUCCGCGUGCAGGAUGAAGGCCCUCGGGUUGUAAACUGCUUUUGUACAGAACGAAAAAGCUCUGGCUAAUACCUGGAGUCCAUGACGGUACUGUAAGAAUAAGCACCGGCUAACUACGUGCCAGCAGCCGCGGUAAUACGUAGGGUGCAAGCGUUAAUCGGAAUUACUGGGCGUAAAGCGUGCGCAGGCGGUUUUGUAAGACAGAGGUGAAAUCCCCGGGCUCAACCUGGGAACUGCCUUUGUGACUGCAAGGCUGGAGUGCGGCAGAGGGGGAUGGAAUUCCGCGUGUAGCAGUGAAAUGCGUAGAUAUGCGGAGGAACACCGAUGGCGAAGGCAAUCCCCUGGGCCUGCACUGACGCUCAUGCACGAAAGCGUGGGGAGCAAACAGGAUUAGAUACCCUGGUAGUCCACGCCCUAAACGAUGUCAACUGGUUGUUGGGUCUUGACUGACUCAGUAACGAAGCUAACGCGUGAAGUUGACCGCCUGGGGAGUACGGCCGCAAGGUUGA
This 549-nucleotide ribosomal RNA is filed under the name uncultured Comamonadaceae bacterium. Its description in RNAcentral is "bacterial SSU rRNA". It matches the Rfam family "Bacterial small subunit ribosomal RNA", at positions 355 to 897 of the family's 1533-position model. The record is from RNAcentral. Lineage: Bacteria; Pseudomonadati; Pseudomonadota; Betaproteobacteria; Burkholderiales; Comamonadaceae.